This is a long non-coding RNA of Oreochromis aureus, 879 nucleotides long. RefSeq lists it as uncharacterized. The transcript is spliced from 4 exons. The record is from RefSeq and is a predicted model, not a curated record. Lineage: Eukaryota; Metazoa; Chordata; Actinopteri; Cichliformes; Cichlidae.
CAGAUGAAGCUGGAAUUAAUGUGUAAUUUUAAUGCAAAUCAUUAGCAGGGCUAUUGUGAACACUGGAGCGUAAAAUUAUGAUUUUAUGUGUGGCGCGUGAUGUGUUCUUUGCUGUAACUUUAUUGUAUGGCUGUGAUUUUGGAGGUCAGCUUUCAAACAGCUGUGUGAGCCUCUCCUGCCUCUCUGCGCGUCGGAGAUGAGAGUGGAGCAACGGCUGAAUGCGGAAAUAAAACGCAAACAGUGCCACAUCUCCCACAUAAAAGGUGUGAAGAAUCUCCUUUCCCAAGUUUCAGCCUGCGUGAGACGGGAACAUUCACAUAGGCAUCCCCUGGUUUCUGCAGAGAAAAUAGAUGUAGUGCCAAGUGUUGCUGUGCUGCUUUGCUGAAAGAAAACAGGAAAAGAAGAGUGGAGGGAAAGAGUUAAGGACUACUCCAUCAACUUGCUUCAUCCAGAUUCUUGAUGAAGUGAUGAAGGGCAUCCAUAUGGUUUGAAAAGGUAGAGUCUCAUCAGGAAAAGAAUUGGAUCCAACAAGAUAGAGAGAAUUUGUUUUAAUGACCAAUCCUACCUAAUCUCAGAACUUUUUAAUUUCCCUCUCCUACCACACACAAUGACAUAAUGAAACUUUACACAAUUAUCUGGUAUAAGUUUGUAUUUUAUUUAUUCAAUUCCACCAGUGUCACAUAUAUCUGCAAUAACCUUUUGCAUUGGAUUAAUUUGAGAUGAGUGCUAAUCAAUUUAAUCUGAGCAUUUAUUGUGAGCACUAGCACAAGUAUUAAGUGUAGGCUGACAUGAAUUAACACAGACAACCUUACUUAAAUAUAUUUCUUUCAUAUUAAAGCAUCAACUGUUUUCUAUAAACAGUGACUAUGAACAGAAAUA